CCUACGGGGGGCAGCAGUGGGGAAUAUUGGACAAUGGGCGAAAGCCUGAUCCAGCCAUGCCGCGUGUGUGAAGAAGGCCUUCGGGUUGUAAAGCACUUUCAGUGGGGAAGAAAGCCUUGGGGCUAAUACCCUCGAGGAAGGACAUCACCCACAGAAGAAGCACCGGCUAACUCCGUGCCAGCAGCCGCGGUAAUACGGAGGGUGCGAGCGUUAAUCGGAAUUACUGGGCGUAAAGCGCGCGUAGGCGGUCUGAUAAGCCGGUUGUGAAAGCCCCGGGCUCAACCUGGGAACGGCAUCCGGAACUGUCAGGCUAGAGUGCAGGAGAGGAAGGUAGAAUUCCCGGUGUAGCGGAGAAAUGCGUAGAGAUCGGGAGGAAUACCAGUGGCGAAGGCGGCCUUCUGGACUGACACUGACGCUGAGGUGCGAAAGCGUGGGUAGCAAACAGGAUUAGAUACCCUGGUAGUC
This 465-nucleotide ribosomal RNA is filed under the name Vreelandella stevensii. RNAcentral's name for it is "partial 16S ribosomal RNA". It matches the Rfam family "Bacterial small subunit ribosomal RNA", at positions 338 to 795 of the family's 1533-position model. Lineage: Bacteria; Pseudomonadati; Pseudomonadota; Gammaproteobacteria; Oceanospirillales; Halomonadaceae. The record is from RNAcentral.